RNAcentral lists this ribosomal RNA (253 nucleotides) under uncultured bacterium. Its description in RNAcentral is "partial 16S ribosomal RNA". It matches the Rfam family "Bacterial small subunit ribosomal RNA", at positions 524 to 776 of the family's 1533-position model. The record is from RNAcentral.
UACAGAGGGUGCAAGCGUUGUUCGGAAUUAUUGGGCGUAAAGGGCGCGUAGGCGGCUUUUCAAGCGUGCGGUGAAAGCUCGGGGCUUAACUCCGAGUCUGCCGUGCGAACUGGGAGGCUUGAGUCUGGUAGAGGUCGAUGGAAUUCCGGGUGUAGCGGUGGAAUGCGUAGAGAUCCGGAAGAACACCGGUGGCGAAGGCGGUCGACUGGGCCAGUACUGACGCUGAGGCGCGACAGCGUGGGGAGCAAACAGG